UUUGAAGUCGCAGUUCAACAUCUACUGCAGCAAAUAUUUUCUGGAAGUCAGCACUAUAUAACAGCGACUUAAAAAUCUCCAGUAAUAUGCUGUGUUUAUUUGUGAAUUUGUGACGAAUCUGCUGACGGAAGCGCAACACAGCUGGAGCUGUUCGGUAAGGAAACCAGUUAAAUUGGAAACCAGUUGGGACACCGGUGGAUUUCAAGACCUCACUCCGCCGCUGACUAUAGCCGACUACUUUCGUUUUGACAUGGCAGCAGUAUCUGCAAGAACGUGUCACGUGACGGUCAGUUGAUGCAAAGAUAAUUGUCUCGUAAGCUAUUUUCACAAUGAAACGUAACUUCAAGAAAAAAAUACCGAGGACAUGACCUCGGUGUCCUCAAUGGUAGCUACGGCCAUGGACAAAAUAUGACGUGACGGCGACAUAACGAAAUUCUUCUGUCGAAAUUACCCUGAAAAACACUGGAACUUAGAUUUUGUAACCUUCCCCACCCUGUUCUGUCGAGCCAUCAUAAAUUACGUUAGUUGGUCAAACAACGUGGUUGCUUGGCAACUCGUGUUCAUCGGUUCCAACUUCAAAAAACGGCUUCCAACUGCACCCGGCCAUUAAAAGGGAGCUGUGGAGGAAGUGUGUCUGGAAGGUGUGCGGCCACUUGCGUUGAUGCCAGUGUGUUCUGUUUUCUGGAGCUGCAGCAGGGCUUGAAAAGUCGAGGGUCGAUAAUCACCUCUCCAAAUCGCCCCUUGUAGACAA
This is a long non-coding RNA of Scomber scombrus (Atlantic mackerel), 751 nucleotides long. RefSeq lists it as uncharacterized. Lineage: Eukaryota; Metazoa; Chordata; Actinopteri; Scombriformes; Scombridae. The transcript has 3 exons. The record is from RefSeq and is a predicted model, not a curated record.